AUGGCACGUGUGUUGAAGUGAACAGUUUUGCCUCUUCAACGAUUUGUUAAUGGCCGCAAUGAACCGUACCGUUUCGAGAAAUGGUCUUAUCCACUCAAUAUAAUUGGAUGAUACGGAAAUGUCCACAUGUACACGUUAUCAAUAUGAAACUCGAUUCAUCUAACCGAUUCUUCGGACCAAUUAGUAAUGUUGACGUACGUAACAAAGGUAAUUUGAUCCUUUUCUGUUAGUUUCCUCUUAUCGUGAAGCUAAAUGAAUGUAUAUUAGAUUUUGAUCCAUGUUUUAGAUGCUGCACGGUCCAGCCUGCACCGAAUCAAAUGAUCUCCCCUUUGCCCUCUCCUUCUACAGGGAGUCCCCAGUAUGUUGUAGGUCCAAAAGGUCUCACUCAGCAAAGAACGUUCGCAUAUCUGAGAAGGACCCCUCGGUCGCUCUGUGCCUCCGGUUUUCUCGUCAUUGCUGAGGAGAUUUAUUGAAGGGAGGCGUGGUUGGCUAUGGUUAGAGGAUUAGAAGUUUAUUGAUGUAUCUACUAUGUAAACGCAUACUAGUUACUGAUCUAUCUAAUAAUGUAUAAACUUUACUAAAGACUUUUACAUAGUAGAUAUCUACGAUGAAUAAACCGAUAGUGGUUUUGGU
Brassica rapa (field mustard) is the source of this 633-nucleotide long non-coding RNA. RefSeq lists it as uncharacterized. NCBI's taxonomy places the organism in Eukaryota, Viridiplantae, Streptophyta, Magnoliopsida, Brassicales, Brassicaceae. The record is from RefSeq and is a predicted model, not a curated record.